This 252-nucleotide ribosomal RNA is filed under the name uncultured bacterium. RNAcentral describes it as "partial 16S ribosomal RNA". It matches the Rfam family "Bacterial small subunit ribosomal RNA", at positions 525 to 776 of the family's 1533-position model. The record is from RNAcentral.
ACAGAGGGUGCAAGCGUUAAUCGGAUUUACUGGGCGUAAAGCGUGUGUAGGUGGUGAUUUAAGUCGGAUGUGAAAGCCCCGGGCUCAACCUGGGAACUGCAUUCGAUACUGGAUCACUAGAGUACGGUAGAGGGAGGCGGAACUCCGGGUGUAGCGGUGAAAUGCGUAGAUAUCCGGAAGAACACCGAUGGCGAAGGCAACCUCCUGGGCCUGUACUGACACUGAGACACGAAAGCGUGGGGAGCAAACAGG